This 67-nucleotide transfer RNA is filed under the name Coelophora saucia. Its description in RNAcentral is "tRNA-Cys". The record is from RNAcentral. Lineage: Eukaryota; Metazoa; Arthropoda; Insecta; Coleoptera; Coccinellidae.
GGUCUUAUAUUCAAUUAAUGAUUAUAAAUUGCAAAUUUAUAGGUGAAUUAUUAUUAUUCUAAGGCUU